Molecule: ribosomal RNA, 433 nt
Filed under: uncultured bacterium
Lineage: Bacteria
Description: partial 16S ribosomal RNA
Rfam family: Bacterial small subunit ribosomal RNA
Source: RNAcentral
AACGAACGCUGGCGGCAUGCCUAACACAUGCAAGUCGAACGAGACCUUCGGGUCUAGUGGCGCACGGGUGCGUAACGCGUGGGAACCUGCCCUUAGGUUCGGAAUAACUCCCCGAAAGGGGUGCUAAUACCGGAUAAUGUCUUCGGACCAAAGAUUGAUCGCCUUUGGAUGGGCCCGCGUUGGUUUAGCUAGUUGGUAGGGUAAAAGCCUACCAAGGCGACGAUCCAUAGCUGGUCUGAGAGGAUGAUCAGCCACACUGGGACUGAGACACGGCCCAGACUCCUACGGGAGGCAGCAGUGGGGAAUAUUGGACAAUGGGCGAAAGCCUGAUCCAGCAAUGCCGCGUGAGUGAUGAAGGCCUUAGGGUUGUAAAGCUCUUUUACCCGGGAUGAUAAUGACAGUACCGGGAGAAUAAGCUCCGGCUAACUCCGUG